Long non-coding RNA from Mytilus californianus (California mussel), 626 nucleotides. RefSeq lists it as uncharacterized. The record is from RefSeq and is a predicted model, not a curated record. The transcript is spliced from 6 exons. NCBI's taxonomy places the organism in Eukaryota, Metazoa, Mollusca, Bivalvia, Mytilida, Mytilidae.
UCCCGACAGUGGUUGUUGGCAGCUGUGUAGUACCUGGAGUAGGUGUUGGCUGUGAUGUACCGACAGUGGUUGUAGACUGUUGUGUAGUACCUGGAGUAGGUGUUACCUGUGUAGUACCUGCAGUAGUUGUUUGUUGUGAUGUACCGACAGUGGUUGUAGACUGCUGUGUAGUACCUGUAGUAGGUGUUGGUUGUGGUGAUUCUGUUGUUGUAGACUGCUGUGUACUACCUGGAGUAGCGGUUGGCUGUGUAGUACCUGCAGUAGUUGUUUGCUGUGAUGUUCCGACAGUGGUUGUAGACUGAUGUGUAGUACCUGGAGUAGGUGUUGGUUGUGAUAAUGUCGUUGUUGUAGACUGCUGUGUACUACCUGGAGUAGGUGUUGGUUGUGUUGUACCAACAGUGGUUGUUGGCUGCUGUGUAGUACCUGGAGUAGGUGUUGGUUGUGUUGUACCAACAGUGGUUGUUGGCUGCUGUGUAGUACCUGGAGUAGGUGUUGGCUGUGAUGUACCAACAGUUGUUGUUGGCUGUUGUGUAGAUCCUAGAGUAGGUGUUGGCUGUGAUGUACCGAUAGUAGUUGUAGACUGUUGUGUAGUACCUGGAGUAGGUGUUACCUGUGUAGUACCUGCA